AUAAAUGAGUACAUUGAUAGGAUCACAUCAAACAUCUUUUUUUUUUCUUUUUUUUUUUUUACUCAAAACAUUAUGGGUCCCUUAAUGCAUUCAGAGUGAUGAGAGAAGAAAACCUCAGAACCGCAUCAUCUAUGCUGGUAGCAGGAAUUCCUUAUCUACGCCAAAUAGAAAUUCUUGAAAUGCCGAAGAUAUGAAUGUGCCAGCUCUCUGGCCUCUUGCCUGAACCAAUAUGACAGAAAAUCUAUCUUGGUUGAUUUUCCUGGACUUGGCUUCUCCGCUGCUGGUCUCAUGGUGCUCACCUGAUCCUCCUUCCUGAUCCGCCCUCCCGGAACUUCUCAGAGCUCUGAGCAGCUGCGUCCUGGCCAAGAACUGGGAAGACCUUUCCAUGGGGUCAACAGAAACUACAACAACAAAAAAGAGGUAACUAUUAAUGGGGGAAAAAAAGUAUAAGAAAGGCAAUGGGAUCAGAGUUUGCUACUUUGCUUGGGAGUGAUUUAUAUCUAUAUGUAGCUAUAAUCACAAAAACACAAAUAUUGGUUUAGAAUGAGAGGAAGGGAGGUUGGGAAGGUGGAGUGUAUGUAAGCUAAGACUCUCAUCUAUCAGUCCAGGAAGUCAAUGGAUAGUGUCUAUAAAGUUUAUUCAUCAAGAAUGAAUGCAGUGCCCUGGCUGGGUAGCUCAGUUGUCCCCAUAUGCCAAGGUUGUGGGUUCAGGACACAUACAA
Molecule: long non-coding RNA, 721 nt
Organism: Myotis brandtii (Brandt's bat)
Lineage: Eukaryota; Metazoa; Chordata; Mammalia; Chiroptera; Vespertilionidae
Exons: 3
Source: RefSeq, a predicted model, not a curated record